GCAACUGAGUGCUAAUCAAAGCAUUUUCCAUUGGAUACUUACAGAACGAAAUAAUUCAAUGGACUAAAAAUGAAAUUUUAUUAGGAGGGUAAGUACAGAGAUCAAAAUAUGGAGGAUUAGGUAUCCUCCUAUAAAGUGAGACACAAAACACAGUAAACACAAAACAAAAGAAAGUAGAUUAUUCAAUCUAGUUGAAUACUCGUGGACAAUUAGACACUCAAGCCCAUA
RNAcentral lists this unclassified non-coding RNA (228 nucleotides) under Hevea brasiliensis (rubber tree). The record is from RNAcentral. Lineage: Eukaryota; Viridiplantae; Streptophyta; Magnoliopsida; Malpighiales; Euphorbiaceae.